Bacillus sp. SG-1 is the source of this 137-nucleotide non-coding RNA. NCBI's taxonomy places the organism in Bacteria, Bacillati, Bacillota, Bacilli, Caryophanales, Bacillaceae. The record is from Rfam.
AUAACAUUUGUACCGUAGACAGCAGGGGCUGUAAAGCUUAAUUUCCUGCCGAGGUAAUUGCGAUAUAGCGAUUCUUUAGGAAUUCGUAUGCAAUGCCUUCAUGUCUAUUAACGAUAUGAAGGCAUUUUUAUUGUGAU